UGGGGAAUAUUGCACAAUGGAGGAAACUCUGAUGCAGCGAUGCCGCGUGAGGGAAGAAGGUUUUAGGAUUGUAAACCUCUGUCUUCAGGGACGAAAAAAGACGGUACCUGAGGAGGAAGCUCCGGCUAACUACGUGCCAGCAGCCGCGGUAAUACGUAGGGAGCGAGCGUUGUCCGGAAUUACUGGGUGUAAAGGGAGCGUAGGCGGGAUCGCAAGUCAGAUGUGAAAACUAUGGGCUUAACCCAUAAACUGCAUUUGAAACUGUGGUUCUUGAGUGAAGUAGAGGUAAGCGGAAUUCCUAGUGUAGCGGUGAAAUGCGUAGAUAUUAGGAGGAACAUCAGUGGCGAAGGCGGCUUACUGGGCUUUAACUGACGCUGAGGCUCGAAAGCGUGGGGAGCAAACAGGAUUAGAUACCCUGGUAGUCCACGCCGUAAACGAUGAUUACUAGGUGUGGGGGGACUGACCCCUUCCGCGCCGCAGCAAACGCAAUAAGUAAUCCACCUGGGGAGUACGACCGCAAGGUUGAAACUCAAAGGAAUUGACGGGGGCCCGCACAAGCAGUGGAGUAUGUGAAUUAAUUCGAAGCAACGCGAAGAACCUUACCAGGUCUUGACAUCGUAUGCAUACCUCAGAGAUGAGUGAAAUCUCUUCGGAGACAUAUAGACAGGUGGUGCAUGGUUGUCGUCAGCUCGUGUCGUGAGAUGUUGGGUUAAGUCCCGCAACGAGCGCAACCCUUACUGUUAGUUGCUACGCAAGAGCACUCUAGCAGGACUGCCGUUGACAAAACGGAGGAAGGUGGGGAUGACGUCAAAUCAUCAUGCCCCUUAUGACCUGGGCCUCACACGUACUACAAUGGCUGUUAACAGAGGGAUGCAAAGCCGCGAGGUGGAGCGAACCCCUAAAAGCAGUCUUAGUUCGGAUUGUAGGCUGCAACCCGCCUACAUGAAGUCGGAAUUGCUAGUAAUCGCAGAUCAGCAUGCUGCGGUGAAUACGUUCCC
RNAcentral lists this ribosomal RNA (998 nucleotides) under uncultured bacterium. RNAcentral's name for it is "bacterial SSU rRNA". It matches the Rfam family "Bacterial small subunit ribosomal RNA", at positions 355 to 1375 of the family's 1533-position model. The record is from RNAcentral.